GACGAACGCUGGCGGCGUGCCUAAUACAUGCAAGUAGAACGCUGAAGAGAGGAGCUUGCUCUUCUUGGAUGAGUUGCGAACGGGUGAGUAACGCGUAGGUAACCUGCCUUGUAGCGGGGGAUAACUAUUGGAAACGAUAGCUAAUACCGCAUAACAAUGGAUGACACAUGUCAUUUAUUUGAAAGGGGCAAUUGCUCCACUACAAGAUGGACCUGCGUUGUAUUAGCUAGUAGGUGAGGUAAUGGCUCACCUAGGCGACGAUACAUAGCCGACCUGAGAGGGUGAUCGUCCACACUGGGACUGAGACACGGCCCAGACUCCUACGGGAGGCAGCAGUAGGGAAUCUUCGGCAAUGGGGGCAACCCUGACCAAGCAACGCCGCGUGAGUGAAGAAGGUUUUCGGAUCGUAAAGCUCUGUUGUAAGUCAAGAACGGGUGUGAGAGUGGAAAGUUCACACUGUGACGGUAGCUUACCAGAAAGGGACGGCUAACUACGUG
RNAcentral lists this ribosomal RNA (497 nucleotides) under uncultured bacterium. Its description in RNAcentral is "partial 16S ribosomal RNA". It matches the Rfam family "Bacterial small subunit ribosomal RNA", at positions 28 to 507 of the family's 1533-position model. The record is from RNAcentral.